RNAcentral lists this unclassified non-coding RNA (272 nucleotides) under Hevea brasiliensis (rubber tree). Lineage: Eukaryota; Viridiplantae; Streptophyta; Magnoliopsida; Malpighiales; Euphorbiaceae. The record is from RNAcentral.
UGGAAGCAUUCUCUUUAGUUCCUAACUAGCAUAAAUCCUUCGUAUGCUAGACCAUUUGGAACACUGUGCUAUGAAGAGACGUUCACCAAGCUUUAUGGUUUAGAACUGUAUAUAUUAACUUGUGCUUUUCAUCCAUAGAGCUUGAGAUUUGACACUAUAGGCAAAAAGUUCUAUUGUUUGUUCCUAGACUGCAUACAUCCUCUUGUAGCUUUCACCAUAGAGCUCUGUAUCUGAUGCCACAGAUAUAGCAUAUGAAUGUGAAUGAGUUCCUG